UAUGAAGAACGUAGCGAAAUGCGAUAAGUAAUGUGAAUUGCAGAAUUCAGUGAAUCAUCGAAUCUUUGAACGCACCUUGCACUCCUUGGUAUUCCGAGGAGUACGCCUGUUCGAGUGUUAUGAAGCUCUCAAAACGCAAUUGGCUUAAAACCUGAUUGUUGUUUUGGAUUUGAACUUUGCCGUGUUAUAACGGCUGGUUUUAAAAGUAUUAGCUGGUACUAGAACGAAUUGGUUCUACUCAACGUGAUAAUUAUCUGAUCGUUGAGGACAUUCCUUUCACGAGGAAUGGCCAUAGUAAAUUCAAUGGACUGCUUCUAAUCUGGCUUUAAUUCUUUAUUGGAUUAACCACUUUUCAAAUCUGACCUCGAAUCAGGUGGGACUACCCGCUGAACUUAAGCAUAUCAAUAAGCGGAGGA
This 416-nucleotide unclassified non-coding RNA is filed under the name soil metagenome. RNAcentral's name for it is "partial contains 5.8S ribosomal RNA, internal transcribed spacer 2, and large subunit ribosomal RNA". The stretch from base 2 to 120 matches the Rfam family "5.8S ribosomal RNA", at positions 36 to 154 of the family's 154-position model. The record is from RNAcentral.